UCCGAGUUGACCCCGGCAGUCUCCCAUGAGUCCCCGGCAUCACCCGCUGGCAACAUGGAACAAGGGUUGCGCUCGUUGCGGGACUUAACCCAACAUCUCACGACACGAGCUGACGACAGCCAUGCACCACCUGCACACCAACCACAAGGGAACGCCUAUCUCUAGACGCGUCUGGCGCAUGUCAAACCCAGGUAAGGUUCUUCGCGUUGCAUCGAAUUAAACCACAUGCUCCACCGCUUGUGCGGGCCCCCGUCAAUUCCUUUGAGCUUUAAUCCUGCGAUCGUACUCCCCAGGCGGAAUGCUUAAUGCGUUAGCUGCGAUACCGAAGGGGUCAAAACCUCCGACAUCUAGUAUUCAUCGUUUACAGCGUGGACUAC
This 377-nucleotide unclassified non-coding RNA is filed under the name uncultured Actinomycetes bacterium. RNAcentral describes it as "uncultured actinobacterium contains 16S-23S intergenic spacer region". The record is from RNAcentral. Lineage: Bacteria; Bacillati; Actinomycetota; Actinomycetes.